RNA transcript from Quercus robur (English oak), 1663 nucleotides. It is a transcript of the gene named methionine aminopeptidase 1A-like, with no coding region annotated. The record is from RefSeq and is a predicted model, not a curated record. The transcript has 16 exons. NCBI's taxonomy places the organism in Eukaryota, Viridiplantae, Streptophyta, Magnoliopsida, Fagales, Fagaceae.
UGUAUUUUGACCACACUUAAUACUUUGUUUCACACACGAAUACAAAUUAAAACAACAACAGCAAAUUAACAAAACCGUGAAAACGAUGUCCGGUGGUUCCGAUGUGGCCGAUACCACUUCCCUAUCCUGCGCUCGCUGUGGCAAACCUGCUCGCCUUCAGUGUCCCAAAUGCGUGGAAUUAAAGCUCCCUCGUGAAGGCGCUGCUUUCUGCACUCAAGAUUGUUUCAAGGCUUCUUGGAGCUCUCAUAAAGCAGUGCAUUUGAAGGCAAAGCUAUCCUCACUUGGGACAGGUACUCCGCAUGAACAAAAUUCAGACUUACAUAAUGAAGGUUGGCUAUAUUGCUUGAAGAAAGGACAGGCUCGAACUCCAAAACUUCCCCAUUUUGAUUGGACAGGGGAAUUAAGGCCAUAUGCUAUAUCUAGAAGACGUGCUGUACCUGCUCAUAUUGAGCUUCCUGACUGGGCAGCUGAUGGUAUCCCAAAAACUGAGCCCAAUAGUGAUCUGCAGCAUGUUGUUGAGAUCAAAACACCGGAUCAAAUUGAGAGAAUGAGAGAGACUUGUCGAAUUGGAAGGGAAGUUUUGGAUGCGGCUGCUCGUGUGAUACAGCCUGGUGUGACAACUGAUGAGAUUGACAGAGUGGUUCAUGAUGCAACUAUUGCGGCUGGAGGAUAUCCUUCUCCUCUCAAUUAUCAUUUCUUCCCAAAGUCUUGCUGCACGUCAGUUAAUGAAGUAAUUUGCCAUGGAAUUCCAGAUGCGAGGAAAUUAGAGGAUGGUGAUAUUGUAAAUGUUGAUAUAUCUGUGUACUAUAAAGGUGUCCAUGGUGAUCUCAAUGAAACGUAUUUUGUGGGUAAUGUUGAUGAAGAGUCUCGACGGCUGGUUCAAUGUACUUAUGAAAGCUUGGAGAAAGCAAUAGCUAUUGUGAAACCUGGGGUGCGAUUCCGUGAAAUUGGGGAAGUUAUUAAUCGUCAUACUACAAUGUCGGGGUUCUCAGUGGUAAAAUCAUAUUGGGGUCAUGGUAUUGGAGAGCUUUAUCAUUGUGCACCAAAUAUUCCCCAUUAUGGAAGUAUCCUAAAUUAUUUUUUGCUGAAGGAAGAAAUAAAGCAGUUGGUGUAAUGAAGGCUGGGCAGACCUUUACAAUUGAACCAAUGAUCAAUGCUGGGGUUUGGCGUGAUCGGAUGUGGCCUGAUGGAUGGACUGCUGUCACUGCUGAUGGCAAACGCAGUGCUCAGUUUGAGCACACUCUUCUGGUGACACAGACUGGAGUUGAGGUUCUUACAGGGCGGCUGCCUUCCUCCCCAAAUGUGUUUCCUUGGCUAAAUGCAUAAUAGUUGGCAACUAUUGGCAAUUGUCUGUAUGGUGAACCUGCAUCCACCAAUAUCAUGCCAUCAGUGAACAAUCACUGAUUAUUGAUGGAGGGUUUUCUAGAUUCCUACCAUUUCCUUUUCUGUUGGAUGCGAAUGUGUUAUUGGAAGUGUGCUUUGGUGUUUCACACCUUUUAAACAAUCUUGUAAUUUUUUUUUUUUUUUUUUUUUGAUAUUUUUUGUAGUUGCUAACUGGUGUUUGUCUUGGACCCCAGUAAGUUAUUCUAAUAAACAUUUUUAAUUUUUGGAUAAAUUGGGAAAAAAAUUGUUUAGAUUUUAUGUUAUUGCUUAUGUUUUUACU